RNAcentral lists this ribosomal RNA (126 nucleotides) under Triticum aestivum (bread wheat). Its description in RNAcentral is "partial small subunit ribosomal RNA". The record is from RNAcentral. Lineage: Eukaryota; Viridiplantae; Streptophyta; Magnoliopsida; Poales; Poaceae.
GCCGCGCGAACGCGUACCCCCUCUGGCACAAAUUAUGACGUUCACUCUCCCACUUGAGGAGAUGAUGGGCCAACGCGCCCACCAAGUGCAAUGUGGGCCAUUGACCCAGGCGACGGGCCUUCUUGA